GCGAGCUGGGUUCAGAACGUCGUGAGACAGUUCGGUCCCUAUCCGUCGUGGGCGUAGGAAAUUUGAGAGGAGCUGUCCUUAGUACGAGAGGACCGGGAUGGACACACCGCUGGUGUACCAGUUGUCUUGCCAAAGGCAUCGCUGGGUAGCUAUGUGUGGACGGGAUAAGUGCUGAAAGCAUCUAAGCAUGAAGCCCCCCUCAAGAUGAGAUUUCCCAUUACGCAAGUAAGUAAGAUCCCUCAAAGACGAUGAGGUAGAUAGGUUCGAGGUGGAAGUGUGGUGACACAUGGAGCUGACGAAUACUAAUCGAUCGAGGACUUAACCAAAA
RNAcentral lists this ribosomal RNA (328 nucleotides) under Lysinibacillus xylanilyticus. RNAcentral describes it as "bacterial LSU rRNA". It matches the Rfam family "Bacterial large subunit ribosomal RNA", at positions 2600 to 2925 of the family's 2925-position model. The record is from RNAcentral. Lineage: Bacteria; Bacillati; Bacillota; Bacilli; Caryophanales; Bacillaceae.